CCACAGGCCGCGCCUUGCCCCAGACGGCUUAGCGGGAAGCAGCCUGCGAGGCGGGGCCGCCUGGUCUCAGACCAGCGCCUGGACACUGCUCCGCCCCGCUGUCCAUCUCAGAGCCACAGGCAAGAGCUGCAGGGUCUCACUGUAGUCCAAGCUGGACUUGAACUCACCAUGUUGCCCUGGCUGGCCUCGAACUUGUGGCGAUCCUCCUGCCUCAGCCUCUUGAGUGCUGAGAUUACAGGGCUCCCGGGCAUGCUUAGCAUGUGGAAGCCCUGAGACCACAGUCUGAGAAUCACAACCUGGAGAGACAGCAGGAAAACCUGCACACCAGUCAGCUGGUCCAAAUAAACUCCAACUAGCAUGGCAA
This is a long non-coding RNA of Cavia porcellus (domestic guinea pig), 364 nucleotides long. RefSeq lists it as uncharacterized. The record is from RefSeq and is a predicted model, not a curated record. The transcript has 3 exons. NCBI's taxonomy places the organism in Eukaryota, Metazoa, Chordata, Mammalia, Rodentia, Caviidae.